GACGAACGCUGGCGGCGUGCUUAACACAUGCAAGUCGAACGGUAAGGCCCCUUCGGGGGUACACGAGUGGCGAACGGGUGAGUAACACGUGAGCAACCUGCCCUUGACUUUGGGAUACCAGCUGGAAACAGCUGCUAAUACCGGAUAUGACCUCUUCUCUCAUGGGUUGAGGUGGAAAGCUCCGGCGGUCAGGGAUGGGCUCGCGGCCUAUCAGCUUGUUGGUGAGGUAAUGGCUCACCAAGGCUUCGACGGGUAACCGGCCUGAGAGGGCGACCGGCCAAACUGGGAAGAGGAUACGGCCCAGACUCCUACGGGGGGCAGCAGUGGGGAAUAUUGCAAAAGGGGCGCAAGCCUGAUGCAGAAACGCCGGGGGGGGGAUGACGGCCUUGGGGUUGUAAACCGCUUUCAGGAGGGACGAAGCUAACGUGACGGUACCUACAAAAGAAGGACCGGAUAAAUACGU
RNAcentral lists this ribosomal RNA (463 nucleotides) under uncultured bacterium. RNAcentral describes it as "partial 16S ribosomal RNA". It matches the Rfam family "Bacterial small subunit ribosomal RNA", at positions 28 to 506 of the family's 1533-position model. The record is from RNAcentral.